GACGAACGCUGGCGGCGUGCUUAACACAUGCAAGUCGAACGGAAAGGCCCUGCUUUUGUGGGGUGCUCGAGUGGCGAACGGGUGAGUAACACGUGAGUAACCUGCCCUUGACUUUGGGAUAACUUCAGGAAACUGGGGCUAAUACCGGAUAGGAGCUCCUGCCGCAUGGUGUGGGUUGGAAAGUUUCGGCGGUUGGGGAUGGACUCGCGGCUUAUCAGCUUGUUGGUGGGGUAGUGGCUUACCAAGGCUUUGACGGGUAGCCGGCCUGAGAGGGUGACCGGCCACAUUGGGACUGAGAUACGGCCCAGACUCCUACGGGAGGCAGCAGUGGGGAAUAUUGCACAAUGGGCGGAAGCCUGAUGCAGCAACGCCGCGUGCGGGAUGACGGCCUUCGGGUUGUAAACCGCUUUCGCCUGUGACGAAGCGUGAGUGACGGUAAUGGGUAAAGAAGCACCGGCUAACUACGUG
RNAcentral lists this ribosomal RNA (468 nucleotides) under uncultured bacterium. RNAcentral's name for it is "partial 16S ribosomal RNA". It matches the Rfam family "Bacterial small subunit ribosomal RNA", at positions 28 to 507 of the family's 1533-position model. The record is from RNAcentral.